Molecule: ribosomal RNA, 465 nt
Filed under: Vreelandella stevensii
Lineage: Bacteria; Pseudomonadati; Pseudomonadota; Gammaproteobacteria; Oceanospirillales; Halomonadaceae
Description: partial 16S ribosomal RNA
Rfam family: Bacterial small subunit ribosomal RNA
Source: RNAcentral
CCUACGGGAGGCUGCAGUGGGGAAUAUUGGACAAUGGGGGCAACCCUGAUCCAGCCAUGCCGCGUGUGUGAAGAAGGCCCUCGGGUUGUAAAGCACUUUCAGUGAGGAAGAACGCCUGGUGGUUAAUACCCAUCAGGAAAGACAUCACUCACAGAAGAAGCACCGGCUAACUCCGUGCCAGCAGCCGCGGUAAUACGGAGGGUGCGAGCGUUAAUCGGAAUUACUGGGCGUAAAGCGCGCGUAGGUGGCUUGAUAAGCCGGUUGUGAAAGCCCCGGGCUCAACCUGGAAACGGCAUCCGGAACUGUCAAGCUAGAGUGCAGGAGAGGAAGGUAGAAUUCCCGGUGUAGCGGUGAAAUGCGUAGAGAUCGGGAGGAAUACCAGUGGCGAAGGCGGCCUUCUGGACUGACACUGACACUGAGGUGCGAAAGCGUGGGUAGCAAACAGGAUUAGAUACCCGAGUAGUC